GAUGAACGCUGGCGGCGUGCCUAAUACAUGCAAGUCGAGCGAACAGACGCGAAGCUUGCUCCUCUGACGUUAGCGGCGGACGUGUGAGUAACAUGUGGAUAACCCACCUAUCAGACUGGGAUAACUUCGGGACACCGUCUAUAAUACCGGAUAAUAUAUUUAACCGCAUGGUUCAAUAGUGAAAGACGGUUUUGCUGUCACUUAUAGAUGGCUCCGCGCCGCAUUAGCUAGUUGGUAAGGUCACGGCCUACCAAGGCAACGAUGCGUAGCCGACCUGGGAGGGUGAUCGGCCACACUGGAACUGAGACACGCACCAGACGCCUACGGGAGGCAGCAGUAGGGAAUCUUCCGCAAUGGGCGAAAGCCUGACGGAGCAACGCCGCGUGAGUUGUGAAGGUCUUCGGAUCGUAAAACUCUGUUAUGAGGGAAGAACAAAUGUGUAAGGAGCUAUGCACGUCUUGACGGUACCUAAUCAGAAAGCCACGGCUAACUACGUG
This 497-nucleotide ribosomal RNA is filed under the name uncultured bacterium. RNAcentral describes it as "partial 16S ribosomal RNA". It matches the Rfam family "Bacterial small subunit ribosomal RNA", at positions 28 to 507 of the family's 1533-position model. The record is from RNAcentral.